UUCAACGGAGAGUUUGAUCCUGGCUCAGGACGAACGCUGGCGGCGUGCUUUACACAUGCAAGUCGAACGGUGAAAAGGAGCUUGCUCCUUGGAUCAGUGGCGAACGGGUGAGUAACACGUGAGUAACCUGCCCCGGACUCUGGGAUAACAGUUGGAAACAGCUGCUAAUACCGGAUACGAGACGGAGAGGCAUCUCUACCGUCUGGAAAGUUUUUCGGUCCGGGAUGGACUCGCGGCCUAUCAGCUAGUUGGUGAGGUAAUGGCUCACCAAGGCGACGACGGGUAGCCGGCCUGAGAGGGCGACCGGCCACACUGGGACUGAGACACGGCCCAGACUCCUACGGGAGGCAGCAGUGGGGAAUAUUGCACAAUGG
Molecule: ribosomal RNA, 374 nt
Filed under: Actinomycetales bacterium
Lineage: Bacteria; Bacillati; Actinomycetota; Actinomycetes; Actinomycetales
Description: bacterial SSU rRNA
Rfam family: Bacterial small subunit ribosomal RNA
Source: RNAcentral